CUCAGUUCGGAUUGGAGUCUGCAACCCGACUCCAUGAAGCUGGAUUCGCUAGUAAUCGCGCAUCAGCCACGGCGCGGUGAAUACGUUCCCGGGCCUUGUACACACCGCCCGUCAAGCCAUGGAAGCCGGGAGUGCCUGAAGUACGCGACCGCAAGGAGCGUCCUAAGGUAAAACCGGUGACUGGGGCUAAGUCGUAACAAGGUACC
This 206-nucleotide ribosomal RNA is filed under the name uncultured bacterium. Its description in RNAcentral is "partial 16S ribosomal RNA". It matches the Rfam family "Bacterial small subunit ribosomal RNA", at positions 1287 to 1500 of the family's 1533-position model. The record is from RNAcentral.